RNAcentral lists this non-coding RNA (21 nucleotides) under Caenorhabditis elegans. Lineage: Eukaryota; Metazoa; Nematoda; Chromadorea; Rhabditida; Rhabditidae. The record is from RNAcentral.
UAUGAUUGACCGAAUAAUUGA